UAUUUAUAUAAUUUAAAUAAAAUAUUACAGUUUCAUUGUAAAAAUAGAAAAAUUAUCUUAUAAAU
Molecule: transfer RNA, 65 nt
Filed under: Corthylus rubricollis
Lineage: Eukaryota; Metazoa; Arthropoda; Insecta; Coleoptera; Curculionidae
Description: tRNA-Glu
Source: RNAcentral